This 1170-nucleotide ribosomal RNA is filed under the name Triticum aestivum (bread wheat). RNAcentral's name for it is "partial small subunit ribosomal RNA". The record is from RNAcentral. Lineage: Eukaryota; Viridiplantae; Streptophyta; Magnoliopsida; Poales; Poaceae.
AUGCUCCGCCUCCGAAGCUGCCUCCUCGCCCAACUCCUCUCGCCGCGCUCCGCCUCCCCCCUCUCCCCUCUCCACCGACUCCUCUCCGCGGCCGCGGCCGCGCCCGCCUUUUCCCCAGACCCUAGCAUCUUCGCCGUGGAGGAGUACCUCGUCUCCACCUGCGGCCUCACCCGCCCGCAGGCCCUCAAGGCCACCCCCAAGCUCUCCCACCUCAAGUCCCCCGCUAACCCCGACGCCGUCCGCACCUUCCUCGCCGGCCUCGGCCUCUCCGGCGCCGAUGUCGCCGCCCUCGUCGCCAGCGACCCGCAGCUCCUCUGCGCCAGCGUGGAGAAGACCCUGGCCCGUAACGUCGACGAGCUAACCGGCCUCGGUCUCUCGCGUCCCGACAUCGCGCGGCUCAUCUCGCUCACGUCCGCCGGCGGCCAUUUCCGCUGCAGAGCCAUCGUCUCCAGGCUGCAGUACUACCUGCCCCUCUUCGGCUCCCCCGAGAACCUCCUCCGGGCUCUGAGCCACAGUUUCUACCUCAUCGGCGCCGACAUCGAGAGGAGGAUCAAGCCCAACGUCGCGCUCCUGCAGGAGUGCGGGCUAGCUGCUUGUGAUAUUGCCAAGCUGUGCCGCUCCAAACCGAGGAUGCUCAUCACCAGACUGGAAAGCAUCCAGGCGAUGGUGGAGUGUGCAGAAGGCCUUGGUGUGCCCCGUGGCUCUCCAAUGUUCAAGCAUGCGCUGGAUGCUGUCUCAUUCAUAAGUGCGGAGAAGAUCGCCACCAAAGUGGACUACCUGAAGAAGACGUUCAGGUGGUCAGAUGCUGAGGUGGGCAUGGCCUUGUGUAGGUCUCCAAUGAUGCUGAGGCAUUCUAUGGAUGCACUGCAGAGCAAAUCAGAGUUCCUUAUCUCCGAGGUCGGGUUGGAACCGGAGUACAUCGCUCAUCGGCCGGCAAUGCUCAAUUAUAGCCUGGAUGGCCGGCUCAGGCCCCGGUACUAUGUUGUGAAGUUUCUCAAGGCAAAUGGAUUGCUAGAUCGCGGCAGGGACUACUAUUCAGUUUUCAGUUAUGUCGAGAAGGUAUUUGUUCAGAGGUACAUAUGCCCUUACAAGGAUGCUGCGCCACACCUCGCUGAAGACUAUGAUGCUGCACACAGGGGGGGAGUGCCAGCUAAUUUCAAAUUCACAUGA